GAAGAAAUUAUCCGGAAACUACUUAUUGAGAGCACGCGCUGCAUCCACCCUUUCCAACAUGGUAUCGAGAGAGAACAUGCUGUGUUGUCCGUAAGUCCAUCGCCAGAGUCCUGAAUGUAAUCAACCAGACAUAGAAGGAGAACCUGAGGAAGUUCCACAAGCUGUGUUGUCAGUAAGUCCAUCGCCAGAGUCCUGAAUGUAAUCAACCAGACAUAGAAGGAGAACCUGAGCAAGUUCCACAAGGGUAAGAAGUACAACCCCCUGUAUCUGAGGCCAAGGAAGACCAGAGCCUUGUGCCGCCGGCUCAACCAGCACGAAGAGUCUCUACGGAACAAGAAACGGCAGAGGAAGGACCUUUACUCAAUCCGCAUAUUCACUGUCAAAGCUUGGAGGCUUUUUCUAUUGAAAAAAUAAAAUCUGUGUAAACGAC
Platichthys flesus (European flounder) is the source of this 430-nucleotide long non-coding RNA. RefSeq lists it as uncharacterized. Lineage: Eukaryota; Metazoa; Chordata; Actinopteri; Pleuronectiformes; Pleuronectidae. The record is from RefSeq and is a predicted model, not a curated record. The transcript is spliced from 4 exons.